AUUGAACGCUGGCGGCAGGCCUAACACAUGCAAGUCGAGCGGAUGUCCUUUGCUUUCUCCUGGAUUCAGCGGCGGACGGGUGAGUAAUUCCUAGGUUUCUGCCUGGUUGUGUUUGAUUACGUCCUCACACGGCCGCUAAUUCCGCUUACGUCCUGAUUGUUAAACUGGUGGUUCUUCGGUCCUCACGCUUUCAGCUUUUCCUAGGUCGUAUUAGCUAGUUGGUGUGGUAAAGGCCUAACAAGGCGACGAUCCGUAACUGGUAUGAGAGGAUGAUCAGUCAAACUGGAACUGAGAAACGGUAAAGACUCGUACGGGAGGGAGCAGUGGGGAAUAUUGGACAAUGGGCGAAAGCGUGAGAGAGCGAGGACGCGUGUGUGAAGAAGGUCUUGGGAUUGUAAAGAACUUUAAGUUGGGAGGAAGGGAAGUAAGAUAAGAAAUUGCUGUAUUGAAGUUAACAAGAGAAUAAGCACCGGCUAACUUCGUG
RNAcentral lists this ribosomal RNA (484 nucleotides) under uncultured bacterium. RNAcentral describes it as "partial 16S ribosomal RNA". It matches the Rfam family "Bacterial small subunit ribosomal RNA", at positions 30 to 507 of the family's 1533-position model. The record is from RNAcentral.